CUUCCUCUAUCCUCAAACCUUGUG
This 24-nucleotide unclassified non-coding RNA is filed under the name Mus musculus (house mouse). Its description in RNAcentral is "oocyte_clustered_small_RNA11792". The record is from RNAcentral. Lineage: Eukaryota; Metazoa; Chordata; Mammalia; Rodentia; Muridae.